GUGAACGCACCCAAUUACAUUUCAAGUAAAGUAUUAAAUUUCAAAACAAACCGAGAAGACGAUGUGUUAAACUUAUCCACAAAAUCUACAAGGAAUCAUCAUUUGAUGGUCUAAAGUUUGAUCCACCUGAGAUUGAGCGAGCUCUUCUCUUUGCAACUAACAACGCUCUGGUUUGAAGAUGCCAUGAAAGUGCAUUUGAUGCUCUCGCAUUGGAUGGAACUUCCUAUCGGAUAUCUGGAGUAACUUCCAUGUUGUCGCUCGCGAAGCCAAGCAUACCUACUUAUAUGACUCAGUUAAAAAUGCAAAAAGAAAAACACCGAGGAAAUGAAGGAGUUGUUGAAAGCCAAAUUCAGGUUUCGCAAAUUGUCUCAAAUACAUCAGUAUGUUCAAUUUAGAUUCGUCAAAAAAAUCUAGGUAUCCCACAAUUCGAUCGACAGUUGGAGGAUGCCCAGAGCUCGGCAAGGUGGCUAUAAAACUACAAAAAACAGAAUGAAUGAAAAUCAAAUUGAUAUCAACUAAACACUUGACCAUACCGGAAGGGUAUGCGGUAGAGGAACGGGUAAUUGUAUGAACAAAAUUCUAAACUGAAACAUUAAUGUUAAGGCGUGGAACUUUUUUUUAAUCUAAUUACCCGUACCACUACCGCAUACCCGUCCGUUGCGGCCAAGCCUUAAAUCUCGUCGAGAACUUUGCAAAUUUAAAUAUGAUUCACAUUAUUUAAAAAUGCUCUCCGAGAAAAAAGCAAAGGCCGCAUUUGAAAAAGUUUCCAAGGCAAUAGAUAGCACUCAUAAGUCUUUACCAAGAAAUAAAGACGCACAGGCUUAUCUAGGAACCUCAUUUGGAUGGAAUAAGUUAUAAUUAUGUUGCACCAAGAAAACGUUUCAAUCAGUAAUUUGAGUGGUGGUGAGAAAACUAUUGCUGCUUUUUCUAUGUGUACUUUACAACCUGGUCCAUUUUUGUUUCAUCUAUAAACGAGAUCACAUCACAAUGAACCAUCAAACUAUUGCCAUUUCGCUCAAAGAGGAGUUUUAUGUGCAUGCUGUUGCUUUGGUUGGAAUUUCACCAGCUGUGAGUUCUCAUCGAUGGAACAAAACGUGUCAAUGGAGAAACAAAUUCCACACAAGGCGCAAUGAUAACAAUUGUUAAUUAAAAUUAUUUGCGUUUCAAUAAUCCUGCCGAAGCUCAACUUAUACGCAAUUUCAUAGGCAGCAACGAACGAAUCUCGAUGCCACCUUAUAAAACCUAAUUUAAAUGGACUUAAUAUUAAUGCCAGGAUAAUAUUAAAGUCCUACAAAUCAUUUUUUAGAAGGACACUGCCCCGUUUCUCACAAAUGAUGGAUAAAAAUGUGGAAAGAAAGCCAAAGUAAACAAAAACUAAGUUAAAACUUGUCUGCAUCCCUGACACAGUAGUAUCUAAUUGCUGCUUAGUUAAAAAUACAAUAUGUUCGCAUCUAAAAAGUACAAGAAAUAGAUGUUUUUAAAAGUACUAUGGGUGAGGUUAUCCAUGUGUUACGUACUGCAUGUGCGCCCUCCAUUGCAACAACAGCAGCAACAACUUCCGUCACAUCAGCAACAUGCACCGCAGCAACUGCACCAUCAGCAACCUUCUCAAAUGAUUCAUCCACAAAAACAUUCCCAACCACCUCCACAGCAUCAGCAGAAUCCUCUAUACCACCAGGGAAUGCAUCCGCAAAACUUCAAUCUACCGACAUUUGGUAUACCGCCCCCGGGCUGCGGUGGGUAUCAACCUGCAUGGGAUGAGCACAAUCUCCAUGUGGAAUGCAAUGGAAAGAGAUGAAGUCCAAAAACUGAUGGAAGAUGCUCAUCUUAAUGGAAAAUUUUUAUUUAGUGAAUUAAGUCAACGUUAUGGACGCCAAGAUCACAACAAAGCCAUCGAAGAAGUACGUGAACGUUUUUUUCAAAGAGUACAUUGUCGAUUUUCUUCUCAAGAAAGAAGAGGAUAAAAUUCAGAAAAAGAAAAAGCACCCUCAUACUACCACCAUCUUGUUGGGAUGCGUCUGCGAUCUCUUGUGCUAAUCUAUAUGCCAUUGUUUAUUGGUGCUUUGAUUCGUCAUGAAGUCGAAAAGAAGGAUAAAUGGAUUCAAGAGUUUUUGCAAUUUGUCUACAGCAAUUGCUGUUCGGUUGAUCCAAGGCAAAGUGAAUUGAGAUCAUCGAUCUUUGCUUCAUUAACCAUUGUAGCAAUAGAAUAAUUUGUCGCACACACGAGAUCUAUUAGUGAAAUGUUGACUGCUGCUUUAACUGAUAACGAAACCAGUGGAAAUAUGGCUACUCAAGUGAUAUAUAAAAUUUGUAUAAGUAUGACCUAUUUGGUGCCAUUCAUUUUUAUACACAAGAAUGUUGAAUUGACGGACCAGAAGUCGAUUGCUAUGAUUAUUAAGAUUCUUCAAGCUUUUGUCGUCGAGGACUCUGAUAAGGUUAUUCAAACUUUUGGAGUAUCCCCAACUACACUCAACAAACAUUCGUUUGUUGUUGGACUUUCACUUGGAAGCUUCGAAAAACACUCAGUUGGAUAGCUCGGUGCGUGUAAACACUGGCAUCUAUUGGCUGGUUGGUGCGCUUGAAUAAGAAGGUAAUUGUCAGGCAAGAGCUCGUUGAACUCAUCAUUCAGGUUGUCUUGAAUCCAAUUGAGGCAUUACCCUCCAGUGGUGGAGAUGAAAAACAUGGCGCUGACACACCACCGUUGCUGGAAAGGAAAAUAACAUGCAUAUUUUGAUUCUUUCGUGGUUGGCUGCAGCCACUGAAGCAUGCAAUGCUGAAUUUAAAAGUCAAGAGUUUGCUUCGGCAACAAGUGCUUCAUAUUGUUGUAAUAUACCUAGAGUGCUUUAAUGAUCAUUAAAAUAAAUAUAUAUAUAUAAAUUCAAAAUAA
This is a long non-coding RNA of Episyrphus balteatus (marmalade hoverfly), 2887 nucleotides long. RefSeq lists it as uncharacterized. The transcript is spliced from 10 exons. The record is from RefSeq and is a predicted model, not a curated record. NCBI's taxonomy places the organism in Eukaryota, Metazoa, Arthropoda, Insecta, Diptera, Syrphidae.